GUUUAGUGCUCCGUUGCGGUAUGAGUGUAGUCGUGAACGUACCCUCCAUUGAGAAGUUCGUCAGUCACUCACACGGUAGCAAGCUGCAGAAUUUGAAGAGUUCUACUGCCGUUAUUCUUGUCUACAAUGAGAGAACUUCACUUUAAGGAUUGCUUUUGGAACAGGGAUUUCACCGGCACUGGGGGUUAUGACAGUAUCAUCCAGCACCUCAACGAUGGCAAGAAGACAUGCAAGGAGAUAGAAGACUUCAUGAAAGCCAGAGCAUCCAUAGAGGAGAAGUAUGCCAAAGAGCUACUGGGUCUCUCCAAGAAGGUGUGUGGGUGCAAUGAGAUGAACACACUGAAGAGAUCGUUGGAUGUGUUCAAACUGCAGACUGAACAUGUGAGUUUGUCACACCUACAACUGGCACAAACAAUGAGGGAUGAGGCAAAAAAACUUGAGGACUUCAGGGAGAGACAGAAAGAGGCAAGGAAAAAGGUUGAACAACAGAUGGAUGCCCUACACAAACAGAGGGCCACUCAGUUCAAGAAAACCAUGGAGUCAAAGAAGACAUAUGAGCAAAAGUGUCGAGACAAAGAGGAAGCAGAACAGAACAUGAACCGAAAUGCAAGCACCAGUAACGCCAAGCAGCAGGAAAAGCUAUUUGCAAGAACAAAUCAAGCAAAAAUGAAUGCAGAGGUAGCUGACAGGCUAUACAUGCAGAAUGUGACUGUGCUGGAAAAAAUCAGGGAGGACUGGCAGAAGGAGCAUGUCAAAGCAUGCGAGGGAUUUGAGAAGCAGGAAGUUGAGAGGAUCAACACUCUAAGGAACAUGGUGUGGACUCAUCUCAACCAGCUCUCCCAGCAGUGUGUCACCAGCGAUGAGCUAUAUGAGGAAGUGAGGAAGUCUCUUGAACAUUGCGACAUACAGGAGGACAUUGAACACUUUGUGAACCUCAGACGGACUGGGGAUAAACCACCAGCUCCUAUUCUGUAUGAUAACUUCUACAGCAGUCAGAGGGUCCCCAUAGCACCAUCAGUCACCCACAUGGCUCCAUCUAUCACCAGGAGACCAUUGCCUAAUCCAACCAACUCCGGAGGUGAUUUGAUCAACUCAUCUGCAUUAGACCCAGAUCGAACCUACAGUGUUAUACAAUACUAGCACACGGUUGUCUAUGGGUAUUGAUAUCGACUGCCUGGUGGAAUGCUGAGUGUGGAUCCCUUCAGUGAUGGCUGUAAAGAGUGGACUUUGUGCUUUGUGCAUUCAACAGUGACACCUUGACAAACUAAUUCAGAAACACCACCAACGCUGACGAGUUGCAUAGUUGACAUACAUCACAUUCAGAUAGAAGGUACCCAAACGCUGUACAUUAUGUAUUGUGUUUUUAGUCAGCUAAACAUGAGCUUUUAAACCCACCCCUCAGCUACUCUCAGUCCAUCUCACCUAUUUCCUUAAAUUGCCCUCUUAUGUUUUCCAUGUGCCGUAUAUUUUUCAACUGUGCUGUGAUGUUUCACAUCAAUUCUGAACCUUUCUAAUCGCAUAGUAUCUACAAAUUGUAAGUUAAAGAUUAAUAUUUUAAC
Oncorhynchus tshawytscha (Chinook salmon) is the source of this 1559-nucleotide RNA transcript. It is a transcript of the gene named proline-serine-threonine phosphatase-interacting protein 2, with no coding region annotated. Lineage: Eukaryota; Metazoa; Chordata; Actinopteri; Salmoniformes; Salmonidae. The transcript is spliced from 16 exons. The record is from RefSeq and is a predicted model, not a curated record.